ACGUGACAGAAAUUAUGCUUACCGCUCAACUACAGCUUUGGGUCAUUUGUUAAAGGAAGCUGAUCCUACUAUAUGAUCUUAUCCUUCGUUCUGUUUGUGCUUUUGUGUCCAUGAGUAUUAAAAAUAAUGUAUUAUCAUAUAACGAAUUAAUAUAAGAAAGUAAAGCAAAUGAGUGAAUUUAAAAAUAAUAAAAAAAAGAUUAAAUGAUAAUUGCUUAAAAAUGUUUACUUUACGGACCAAAUAAGUAAACAUAAUGAUUAUAAAUAUAAUUGAACUAAUGUGAACAGAUAAGAUAUAAUAAAUGUUUAGAAUAAUAACUAAUAAAAAAGAAUAACAUCAUCGAAACACUGAUAUUACUAAUUGUUUUGUUUUGUGCAUGAAACAUAACAAUGUGAUGAUCAAAGAGAAAGGGCAUUCCGAUAUUUUUGGAAAAAGGCAAGCAAAGGUUCAAAAAGAAUUAGAAGAUGCUGCACGUGACACACGACCAGUUAGUCCCGAUAGAUCGAGUUUAAAAGAAGGAAUCGCUGGUCUUCCUACUGCGGUACCAACGAAAGUAUCCGUCACGUUUACUGCACACGACGGAGAAGUUUAUGCCGUAAAAUGGUCUCCCGUCGAGAGGAUGCUUGCCACCGGUGGUGCUGACAGGAAGGUGAAGCUUUGGAAUAUCUCAAAAGGUGCUUCAGAGAGCAAAGGUAUUCUCGUUGGUAGCAAUGCUGGAGUGAUGUGCGUCGAUUUCGAUUCUACAGGAACAUUGAUUCUUGGAGCAUCGAAUGACUAUGCCAGCCGAGUAUGGACUGUCAGUGACUUCCGAUUAAAGGUAAGUGAUGCAUUUAUUCUACGAGAAUCAAGACGUGCAGCCUUGAAAACACGUAAGAAUUUAUGUACCUAUUUGUUGCAACAGCGCCACACUCUAACGGGCCACUGCGGGAAGGUGAUGGCUGCGAAGUUUCUUGGCGAGCCUUCAAAAGUAGUUACUGGCAGUUACGAUCGUACCCUAAAAAUUUGGGACCUGCGUAGCAAAGCGUGUAUAGAAACAAAGUUUGCGGGUUCGAGUUGCAACGAUCUUGUAACUUCGGACGGUGCGGGCUCUACGAUAAUUAGCGGCCAUUUUGAUCAUAGGAUUAGAUUUUGGGAUACAAGAGCCGAAUCCAGCUCAAAUGACAUUUUAUUGGAAGGAAAGGUCACUUCGCUGGAUUUAUCUCGUGAUGCAAAUUACCUUUUGAGCUGUGUCAGAGAUGAUACGUUGAAACUCAUCGAUCUGCGGAUGAAGAAGAUCAUUGGAUCAUUUAGCGCCGAUGGCUUUAAAGUCGGUUUUGACUGGACACGAGCUAUUUUUAGCCCAGAUGGUCAGUACAUAGCGGUUGGUUCUUCAGACGGGUCCGUUUUCAUUUGGUCUGUCGCCACCAACAUGAUUGAGACUGUGUUGAAAAACCAUUCGUGUGCGAGGACUUAAGAAUGUGUCCAUCGAUAUUCCAUUGGCCGUAGCAGAUGGCACCACCGUCAAUAUGAGUUGCGGAUACGAUCUAGAAUCAGAUACUUUGUACACAGUGAAAUGGUACUACAAACGUUUUGAAUUUUUUCGAUACAUUCCUAAAGAAAUGCCACCUACAAGUGCUUUUGGAGAAUUGGGUAACAAAGUUCUCUUAAAUCAAAGUGAUGCUCAUCGCGUAGUUUUAAGGGACUUGCAACCAAGCCAUACUGGAAAAUAUCGCUGUGAAGUUUCUGGCGAUUCUCCAUCGUUUACUACUAUAACGGUUGCCGCUUAUUUAUAUGUUGCUAAUCUACCAAAAGGGGAUCCUCAAAUUAGAGCCGAAAAGAUACGCUACGCGGUAGGAGAUACGGUGCGUGCAAAUUGCACCGUUCCUUCGGGAAAUCCUCCGGCGAAUGUGACAUGGACUGUGAAUGGAGUACAGGUAAAUUCCAGCUUCAUGAUGAACAUUACGGACAAGUUUGGUGACAAUCAGCAAUUGAUGACUAUCGCAGGAUUGGACUUCGAGACUAUACAAGAUAGCUUUAACAACGGAAGAUUACAUAUUGUUUGCAAUGCUAACGUCUUUCAUUUGUA
RNAcentral lists this unclassified non-coding RNA (2065 nucleotides) under Apis florea (little honeybee). RNAcentral's name for it is "autophagy-related protein 16-1, transcript variant X7". Lineage: Eukaryota; Metazoa; Arthropoda; Insecta; Hymenoptera; Apidae. The record is from RNAcentral.